RNAcentral lists this ribosomal RNA (454 nucleotides) under uncultured Saprospiraceae bacterium. RNAcentral's name for it is "bacterial SSU rRNA". It matches the Rfam family "Bacterial small subunit ribosomal RNA", at positions 28 to 505 of the family's 1533-position model. Lineage: Bacteria; Pseudomonadati; Bacteroidota; Saprospiria; Saprospirales; Saprospiraceae. The record is from RNAcentral.
GAUGAACGCUAGCGGGAGGCUUAAUACAUGCAAGUCGAGGGACCAUUUCGGUGGGACCGGCGCACGGGUGAGUAACGCGUACACUACCUACCUUACACAGGAGAAUAGCCUUUGGAAACGAAGAUUAAUGCUCCAUGGUACCGUUUACGGUUAAAGCUCCGGCGGUGUAAGAUGGGUGUGCGUGCCAUUAGCUAGUUGGUAAGGUAACGGCUUACCAAGGCUACGAUGGCUAAGGGGCGUGAGAGCGUGAACCCUCACACGGGUACUGAGACACGGACCCGACUCCUACGGGAGGCAGCAGUAAGGAAUAUUGGUCAAUGGACGCAAGUCUGAACCAGCCAUCCCGCGUGCAGGAUGACGGCCCUACGGGUUGUAAACUGCUUUUAUAAGAGAAGAAACCUGUUCAUUUAUGAGCAGCUGACGGUAUCUUACGAAUAAGCACCGGCUAACUCCG